GGAAACGACAAAGGUUUACCUUUGGGCGUCGAGCGGCGAACGGGUGAGUAACGCGUAGGAAUCUGCCCGAUAGCGGGGGAUAGCCCGGGGAAACCCGGAUUAAUACCGCAUACGCCCCACGGGGGAAAGACCGGGAUCUUCGGACCGGUCGCUAUCGGAGGAGCCUGCGUUGGAUUAGCUUGUUGGUAGGGUAACGGCCUACCAAGGCGACGAUCCAUAGCUGGUCUGAGAGGAUGAUCAGCCACACUGGAACUGAGACACGGUCCAGACUUCUACGGGAGGCAGCAGUCGGGAAUAUUGGACAAUGGGGGAAACCCUGAUCCAGCCAUGCCGCGUGCGUGAAGAAGGCCUUCGGGUUGUAAAGCACUUUCAGUAGUGAGGAAGGGGCCUGGGCGAAUACCCCGGGCUUUUGACGUUAGCUACAGAAGCAGCACCGGCUAACUCCGUGCCAGCAGCCGCGGUAAUACGGAGGGUGCGAGCGUUAAUCGGAAUUACUGGGCGUAAAGCGCGCGUAGGCGGCCUGGUAAGUCGGAUGUGAAAGCCCAGGGCUUAACCUUGGAACUGCAUUCAUACUGCCAGGCUGGAGUAUGGUAGAGGGAGGUAGAAUUCCACGUGUAGCGGUGAAAUGCGUAGAGAUGUGGGGGAAUACCGGUGGCGAAGGCGGCCUCCUGGACCAAUACUGACGCUGAGGUGCGAAGGCGUGGGGAGCGAACAGGAUUAAUACCCUGGUGGUCCACGCGGUAAACGAUGUCAACUAGCCGUUGGGGGCCUUGCUGUCUUUAGUGGCGCACUAACGC
Molecule: ribosomal RNA, 797 nt
Filed under: uncultured bacterium
Lineage: Bacteria
Description: bacterial SSU rRNA
Rfam family: Bacterial small subunit ribosomal RNA
Source: RNAcentral